Molecule: ribosomal RNA, 82 nt
Filed under: Peptostreptococcus sp. D1
Lineage: Bacteria; Bacillati; Bacillota; Clostridia; Peptostreptococcales; Peptostreptococcaceae
Source: RNAcentral
CAUUCCGAACACAGAAGUUAAGCUCCUUAGCGCUGAAGGUACUUGGUGGGAAGCUGCCUGGGAGAAUAGGACGUAGCCACGU